This 467-nucleotide ribosomal RNA is filed under the name uncultured bacterium. RNAcentral describes it as "partial 16S ribosomal RNA". It matches the Rfam family "Bacterial small subunit ribosomal RNA", at positions 28 to 523 of the family's 1533-position model. The record is from RNAcentral.
GAUGAACGCUGGCGGCGUGCCUAACACAUGCAAGUCGAGCGGCAGCGCGAGUAGUUUACUACUUGGCGGCGAGCGGCGGACGGCUGAGUAACGCGUGGGAACGUGCCCCAAAGUGAGGGAUAACUUCGAGAAAUCGGAGCUAAUACCGCAUAGUAUCUUCGGAUUAAAGAAUUUAUUCGCUUUGGGAGCGGCCCGCGUCGGAUUAGGUAGUUGGUGAGGUAAAGGCUCACCAAGCCGACGAUCCGUAGCUGGUCUGAGAGGAUGACCAGCCAGACUGGAACUGAGACACGGUCCAGACUCCUACGGGAGGCAGCAGUGAGGAAUCUUCCACAAUGGGCGAAAGCCUGAUGGAGCAACGCCGCGUGCAGGAUGAAGGCCUUCGGGUUGUAAACUGCUUUUAUAAGUGAAGAAUAUGACGGCAACUUAUGAAUAAGGAUCGGCUAACUACGUGCCAGCAGCCGCAGUAA